GUAGUCUUUCUGGAAUGAUGGAAGAUCGUAAUGCUUAAUGCUGGAUUUGAUGAUGAUUCCGGUACCGCCGUGUGCCUUUCCACUGGGGUGUUGGGUGUGGUAGAAGUUGUAGCCGUGUAUUUUGAGGUAGUUUUUGUCGGUGAAGUGGGUUUCCGAUACGAGCAUUACGUCGAUUUGCUGGUGUUUUAGGAAGAGUUCUAGUUCAAAUUUGUGUUGCGCUAGACCGUUGGCAUUCCACAGAGCUAUGCGUCUUGGUUUUAUUUUGCGUCGGGGCGUAUUAAUUUAUCCAUGAUGAGUGUUAGUAGCGAUAGCAAAUUAUUUAUUUGCUCUGAUUGUUUCUCUAUUAGAUUUUCAAGCCUAGAGACGUUGUCUGUGUU
RNAcentral lists this unclassified non-coding RNA (377 nucleotides) under Bombus terrestris (buff-tailed bumblebee). RNAcentral's name for it is "misc RNA ENSBTSG00005025143.1". The record is from RNAcentral. Lineage: Eukaryota; Metazoa; Arthropoda; Insecta; Hymenoptera; Apidae.